RNAcentral lists this transfer RNA (88 nucleotides) under Candidatus Gracilibacteria bacterium CG17_big_fil_post_rev_8_21_14_2_50_48_13. RNAcentral's name for it is "tRNA-Ser". It matches the Rfam family "tRNA". Rfam says of the family: Transfer RNA (tRNA) molecules are approximately 80 nucleotides in length. Their secondary structure includes four short double-helical elements and three loops (D, anti-codon, and T loops). The record is from RNAcentral. Lineage: Bacteria; Candidatus Altimarinota.
GGAGAGAUGGCAGAGUGGUCGAUCGCGGCGGUCUUGAAAACCGUUGGGCCGCAAGGUCCCGGGGGUUCGAAUCCCUCUCUCUCCGCCA